GGUGACCUCAUACAACAGUCCUGAAAGAAUCUUCUCCUUAUUUCUACCAUGUGAAUUUACAACUAGAAGAUAUUGUCUGUGACCCCAAAAGCAAAAGGAACUCACCAGAACCUGACUCUGUUGGCAUCCUGAUAUUGGACUGCAAGUCUCCAAAAGUGCAUAAUGGAUCUUCUGGAGUACCCUCUUAUGGACAUGGAAGCCAUUUUGGACAUCUCAGAAUAUAAAAUGUAGACAGCUGUUUUAGUUCCAUUACUAAAUCAAGAGGACAUAUUCUCUGGUUGUACGAAAAACUUAGAUUACUACUUACACAUGUAAUGACCCUUCAGUAUCUCUGCUUAAAUAUUUUCUUUGCCUAAGUUGUCUCCUCCUGUUUUUGGCUAAAAUUCUACUCCUCCUUCGUAACACCUUAAAGGUGUCUCUUCCUAUGAUUCACAGAUGUGGAAUCACGUGUCUUUUUUAUUAUAUUAUCCACAUCUGAUUUUAUAAUAGUUGUUUUCAAUGUGUCUAUUUCCUUCAUUAAUUUGUUUGUUUAAUGUUAUUAGAUAAAAUUAAUAUGAUAUUCUAGGGACACCUGGGUGACUCAGUCUGUUAAGUGCCUUCCUUAGGCUCAAGACAGCAUCUCAGAGUCCAGUGAUCAAGCCCUGCAUUGGGCUCCCCCCACCCUCUGCAGGGAGUCUGCUUCUCCCUUUGUACCUCCCCCUGCUCGUAUUCUCUCACUCUCCCUCUCACAAAUAAAUAAAUAAAAUAUUUUUAAAAAGUG
RNAcentral lists this long non-coding RNA (760 nucleotides) under Mustela putorius furo (domestic ferret). RNAcentral describes it as "lncRNA (ENSMPUG00000024843.1)". Lineage: Eukaryota; Metazoa; Chordata; Mammalia; Carnivora; Mustelidae. The record is from RNAcentral.